GAUGAACGCUAGCGAUAGGCUUAACACAUGCAAGUCGAGGGGCAGCAUGGUCUUAGCUUGCUAAGGCUGAUGGCGACCGGCGCACGGGUGCGUAACGCGUAUGCAACUUGCCUCACAGAGGGGGAUAACCCGUCGAAAGACGGACUAAUACCGCGUACACUCUAUGUUGGGCAUCCAAUGUAGAGGAAAUGAAAUUCGCUGUGAGAUAGGCAUGCGUCCCAUUAGCUAGUUGGUGAGGUAACGGCUCACCAAGGCGACGAUGGGUAGGGGAACUGAGAGGGGGGAACCCCCACACUGGAACGGGAACACGGAAGAGAACCCAAGGGGGGAGAGGAGGGGGGAAUAUUGGGAAAGGGGGGAGAGCCUGAACCAGCAAAGGCGCGUGAGGGAGAACGGUUUUAGGGGUGGUAAACUUUUUUUAUAGGGGAAUAACAAGGGUCACGUGGGGCUCCCUGCAGGAACCGUAGAAAAAACCAUCGGAAAACUCCGG
RNAcentral lists this ribosomal RNA (490 nucleotides) under uncultured bacterium. Its description in RNAcentral is "partial 16S ribosomal RNA". It matches the Rfam family "Bacterial small subunit ribosomal RNA", at positions 28 to 506 of the family's 1533-position model. The record is from RNAcentral.